This 453-nucleotide ribosomal RNA is filed under the name Listeria monocytogenes. RNAcentral describes it as "partial 23S ribosomal RNA". It matches the Rfam family "Bacterial large subunit ribosomal RNA", at positions 1 to 449 of the family's 2925-position model. The record is from RNAcentral. Lineage: Bacteria; Bacillati; Bacillota; Bacilli; Caryophanales; Listeriaceae.
GAUAAGGUUAAGUGAAUAAGGGCGCACGGUGGAUGCCUUGGCACUAGGAGCCGAUGAAGGACGGGACUAACACCGAUAUGCUUUGGGGAGCUGUAAGUAAGCUAUGAUCCAGAGAUUUCCGAAUGGGGGAACCCAAUAUCUUUUAUAGGAUAUUACUUUUCAGUGAAUACAUAGCUGAUUAGAGGUAGACGCAGAGAACUGAAACAUCUUAGUACCUGCAGGAAGAGAAAGAAAAUUCGAUUCCCUGAGUAGCGGCGAGCGAAACGGGAAGAGCCCAAACCAACAAGCUUGCUUGUUGGGGUUGUAGGACUCCGAUAUGGUAGUCUGUUAGUAUAGUUGAAGGAUUUGGAAAAUUCCGCUAAAGAGGGUGAAAGCCCCGUAGACGAAAUGCUAACAACACCUAGGAGGAUCCUGAGUACGGCGGAACACGAGAAAUUCCGUCGGAAUCCGCGG